CGUGUACGUACAAGCAGUGGGAGCCUCUUAAUGGGGUGACUGCGUACCUUUUGUAUAAUGGGUCAGCGACUUAUAUUCUGUAGCAAGGUUAACCGAAUAGGGGAGCCGAAGGGAAACCGAGUCUUAACUGGGCGUUAAGUUGCAGGGUAUAGACCCGAAACCCGGUGAUCUAGCCAUGGGCAGGUUGAAGGUUGGGUAACACUAACUGGAGGACCGAACCGACUAAUGUUGAAAAAUUAGCGGAUGACUUGUGGCUGGGGGUGAAAGGCCAAUCAAACCGGGAGAUAGCUGGUUCUCCCCGAAAGCUAUUUAGGUAGCGCCUCGUGAAUUCAUCUCCGGGGGUAGAGCACUGUUUCGGCAAGGGGGUCAUCCCGACUUACCAACCCGAUGCAAACUGCGAAUACCGGAGAAUGUUAUCACGGGAGACACACGGCGGGUGCUAACGUCCGUCGUGAAGAGGGAAACAACCCAGACCGCCAGCUAAGGUCCCAAAGUCAUGGUUAAGUGGGAAACGAUGUGGGAAGGCCCAGACAGCCAGGAUGUUGGCUUAGAAGCAGCCAUCAUUUAAAGAAAGCGUAAUAGCUCACUGGUCGAGUCGGCCUGCGCGGAAGAUGUAACGGGGCUAAACCAUG
RNAcentral lists this ribosomal RNA (632 nucleotides) under Escherichia coli. RNAcentral describes it as "partial 23S ribosomal RNA". It matches the Rfam family "Bacterial large subunit ribosomal RNA", at positions 557 to 1191 of the family's 2925-position model. Lineage: Bacteria; Pseudomonadati; Pseudomonadota; Gammaproteobacteria; Enterobacterales; Enterobacteriaceae. The record is from RNAcentral.